Molecule: ribosomal RNA, 253 nt
Filed under: uncultured bacterium
Lineage: Bacteria
Description: partial 16S ribosomal RNA
Rfam family: Bacterial small subunit ribosomal RNA
Source: RNAcentral
UACGAAGGGGGCUAGCGUUGCUCGGAAUCACUGGGCGUAAAGGGCGCGUAGGCGGCCGCCUAAGUCAGACGUGAAAUCCCUCGGCUCAACCGGGGAACUGCGUCUGAUACUGGGUGGCUUGAAUCCGGGAGAGGGAUGCGGAAUUCCAGGUGUAGCGGUGAAAUGCGUAGAUAUCUGGAGGAACACCGGUGGCGAAGGCGGCAUCCUGGACCGGCAUUGACGCUGAGGCGCGAAAGCCAGGGGAGCAAACGGG